UACAGAGGUCCCAAGCGUUGUUCGGAUUCAUUGGGCGUAAAGGGCUCGUAGGCGGUCUGUUGCGUCGGGAGUGAAAACUCAGGGCUUAACCCUGAGCCUGCUUCCGAUACGGGCAGACUAGGGGUAUGCAGGGGAGAACGGAAUUCCUGGUGUAGCGGUGAAAUGCGCAGAUAUCAGGAGGAACACCGGUGGCGAAGGCGGUUCUCUGGGCAUUACCUGACGCUGAGGAGCGAAAGUGUGGGGAGCGAACAGG
RNAcentral lists this ribosomal RNA (253 nucleotides) under uncultured bacterium. RNAcentral's name for it is "partial 16S ribosomal RNA". It matches the Rfam family "Bacterial small subunit ribosomal RNA", at positions 524 to 776 of the family's 1533-position model. The record is from RNAcentral.